RNAcentral lists this ribosomal RNA (121 nucleotides) under Carlito syrichta (Philippine tarsier). Lineage: Eukaryota; Metazoa; Chordata; Mammalia; Primates; Tarsiidae. The record is from RNAcentral.
GUCUACGGCCAUACCACCCUGAACACAGUCGAUCUUAUCUGAUCUCAGAAGCUAAGCAGGUCAGGCCUGGUUAAUACUUGGAGGGGGACUGCCUGGGAAUAAAAUCGUGAAGUUGGAGAUC